UAGUACCACUCUGUUGCAUUAUGGGAAUUCUUGGAAUAUUUUACAUCAAAAGACAGCUAAAGAAUGGAAUCUGGGAAGGAGGAAGUCAAACAUCCAAGGUAUAUAUUUGGUCAUGUCAUCUCCAGAAUAACCAUUUUCUGUUAGUGAAUUUUUGGUUAAUUUCUUUCUCUUUUCAAGAUCUUUAGGUGAAAAAUAUAAUAUUUGUAUUAGUUAUAUUUACAUUAAUUAUAUUUAGAUUAUUUUUAUGCGGUGUUGAUUUAAUGUAUUAAAAAUAGAAAAAUGGUAACAUUGUCAAUUAUGCAAAAUAAAUCACUUAUACCUUCACAUUUUGGGAUAAAAAAUGUCCCCGACAUUAUCUUAGGAGACCAGAAAUAUCAUCAAGAGUUAACAACAGUGAUGUGGCGUCACAUAACACUAAUUCCACCACAUAAGCUUGCCAACUAGGAUACCCACUGAAUUUUGACCCAAUUUAUAAUCGAAAUCUUAACCCAUUCUUGAAUGAUGAAUCCCAACCCACUAAAAUUUUAAAAAAAUAAAAAAAUUCCAAUGCAUUCUUCCACCGGCCCCUUUCUGUCUUAUGAUUAAAAGUCAAGACCUAGCAGGUAAUUCAAAUAGAAUCAAGGAACAAGCAAAAAUCAAAUAACCGGCUGACGGAGGUAGUAGAUAUUUCAUAGAAUUAAUUGAGUUAUAUGAACAAUACGAUUAUAAAUAGAAUAAAAAUUAAAAUCAAAAUCAACACACUGGUUCCAAAAUAUGCGGGUUUUUUUUUUUUUGACUUUUUGCAUCAAUUUUAAUAGGUUAAAUACACAAUCGUCCCACAUGAAGCCUCACAAAUGCAAGAGGAGCCUUCCCUAGUGGUGGUUCAAGAAGCAAAAGUAAACCUUGAGGCAGAGACGUGAUGGGACAUGGAAGAUGAGGG
Molecule: long non-coding RNA, 919 nt
Filed under: Solanum tuberosum (potato)
Lineage: Eukaryota; Viridiplantae; Streptophyta; Magnoliopsida; Solanales; Solanaceae
Description: long non-coding RNA (STUB_LNC003930)
Source: RNAcentral